This is a long non-coding RNA of Dreissena polymorpha, 612 nucleotides long. RefSeq lists it as uncharacterized. Lineage: Eukaryota; Metazoa; Mollusca; Bivalvia; Myida; Dreissenidae. The record is from RefSeq and is a predicted model, not a curated record. The transcript has 3 exons.
GCACAUACGUGUCACCCCAGAUUAGGUCAUGCAGUCAGCGUUACGUGUCACCCCAGAUUAGGCCAUGCAGUCAGCACAUACGUGUCACCCCAGAUUAGGUCAUGCAGUCAGCGUUACGUGUCACCCCAGAUUAGGCCAUGCAGUCAGCACAUACGUGUCACCCCAGAUUAGGUCAUGCAGUCAGCGUUACGUGUCACCCCAGAUUAGGCCAUGCAGUCAGCACAUACGUGUCACCCCAGAUUAGGUCAUGCAGUCAGCGUUACGUGUCACCCCAGAUUAGGCCAUGCAGUCAGCACAUACGUGUCACCCCAGAUUAGGUCAUGCAGUCAGCGUUACGUGUCACCCCAGAUUAGGCCAUGCAGUCAGCACAUACGUGUCACCCCAGAUUAGGUCAUGCAGUCAGCGUUACGUGUCACCCCAGAUUAGGCCAUGCAGUCAGCACAUACGUGUCACCCCAGAUUAGGUCAUGCAGUCAGCGUUACGUGUCACCCCAGAUUAGGCCAUGCAGUCAGCACAUACGUGUCACCCCAGAUUAGGUCAUGCAGUCAGCGUUACGUGUCACCCCAGAUUAGGCCAUGCAGUCAGCACAUACGUGUCACCCCAGAUUAGGUC